GAUGAACGCUGGCGGCGUGCCUAAUACAUGCAAGUCGAGCGAACAGACGAGGAGCUUGCUCCUCUGACGUUAGCGGCGGACGGGUGAGUAACACGUGGAUAACCUACCUAUAAGACUGGGAUAACUUCGGGAAACCGGAGCUAAUACCGGAUAAUAUAUUGAACCGCAUGGUUCAAUAGUGAAAGACGGUUUUGCUGUCACUUAUAGAUGGAUCCGCGCCGCAUUAGCUAGUUGGUAAGGUAACGGCUUACCAAGGCAACGAUGCGUAGCCGACCUGAGAGGUUGACCGGCCACACUGGAACUGAGACACGGUCCAGACUCCUACGGGAGGCAGCAGUAGGGAAUCUUCCGCAAUGGGCGAAAGCCUGACGGAGCAACGCCGCGUGAGUGAUGAAGGUCUUCGGAUCGUAAAACUCUGUUAUUAGGGAAGAACAAAUGUGUAAGUAACUAUGCACGUCUUGACGGUACCUAAUCAGAAAGCCACGGCUAACUACGUG
RNAcentral lists this ribosomal RNA (497 nucleotides) under uncultured bacterium. RNAcentral describes it as "partial 16S ribosomal RNA". It matches the Rfam family "Bacterial small subunit ribosomal RNA", at positions 28 to 507 of the family's 1533-position model. The record is from RNAcentral.